GUCGGGUGCAGUGGCGCGCGCCUGUAAUCCAAGCUGCUGGGAGACUGAGGCUGGCGGAUCGCUUGAGUUCAGGGGUUCUGGGCUGCAGUGGACUAUGUUGAUCAGGUGUCCACACUAAGUUCGGUAUCGAUAUGGUGUUCCUGGGGGAGCUCGGGACCACCAGGUCGUUUAAGGAGGGGUGAACCGGCCCAGGUCGGAGACGGAGCAGGUCAAAGCCCCCGUGUCGAUCAGUAGUGGGAUCGCGCCUGUGAAUAGACACUGCAGUGCAGCCUGAGCGAUACAGCGAGACCCAGACUUUU
This 299-nucleotide signal recognition particle RNA is filed under the name Carassius auratus (goldfish). Its description in RNAcentral is "Metazoan signal recognition particle RNA (ENSCARG00000026530.1)". It matches the Rfam family "Metazoan signal recognition particle RNA". From Rfam's summary of the family: The signal recognition particle (SRP) is a universally conserved ribonucleoprotein. It is involved in the co-translational targeting of proteins to membranes. Lineage: Eukaryota; Metazoa; Chordata; Actinopteri; Cypriniformes; Cyprinidae. The record is from Rfam by way of RNAcentral.